GAUGAACGCUGGCGGCGUGCUUAACACAUGCAAGUCGAACGGAAAGGCUCCUGCUUGCAGGGGUACUCGAGUGGCGAACGGGUGAGUAACACGUGGGUGAUCUGCCCUUCACUUCGGGAUAAGCCUGGGAAACUGGGUCUAAUACCGGAUAGGACGAUGGUUUGGAUGCCAUUGUGGAAAGUUUUUUCGGUGUGGGAUGAGCUCGCGGCCUAUCAGCUUGUUGGUGGGGUAAUGGCCUACCAAGGCGUCGACGGGUAGCCGGCCUGAGAGGGUGUACGGCCACAUUGGGACUGAGAUACGGCCCAGACUCCUACGGGAGGCAGCAGUGGGGAAUAUUGCACAAUGGGCGGAAGCCUGAUGCAGCGACGCCGCGUGGGGGAUGACGGCCUUCGGGUUGUAAACUGCUUUCGCUAGGGACGAAGCGCAAGUGACGGUACCUGGAGAAGAAGCACCGGCUAACUACGUG
Molecule: ribosomal RNA, 466 nt
Filed under: uncultured bacterium
Lineage: Bacteria
Description: partial 16S ribosomal RNA
Rfam family: Bacterial small subunit ribosomal RNA
Source: RNAcentral